RNAcentral lists this ribosomal RNA (486 nucleotides) under uncultured bacterium. RNAcentral describes it as "bacterial SSU rRNA". It matches the Rfam family "Bacterial small subunit ribosomal RNA", at positions 19 to 518 of the family's 1533-position model. The record is from RNAcentral.
AUGGCUCAGAACGAACGCUGGUGGCGUGUCUUAUACAUGCAAGUCGAGCGGUGCAGCAAUGCAUAGCGGCGAACGGGUGAGUAACGCGUAAGCAAUCUGCCCCCUGUUCGGGAAUAGCCGUGCCAACGCGCGGGCAAUACCGGAUAUAGUGGCCCUGGACAUCCGGGGUUGACAAAAGAUUUAUCGACAGGGGAUGAGCUUGCGUCCGAUUAGCUAGUUGGCGGGGCAACGGCCCACCAAGGCGACGAUCGGUAGCCGGCCUGAGAGGGUGAUCGGCCACAUUGGGACUGAGAUACGGCCCAGACUCCUACGGGAGGCAGCAGUAGGGAAUAUUGCACAAUGGGGGAAGCCCUGAUGCAGCAACGCCACGCGUGGGAAGAAGCAUUUCGGUGUGUAAACCACUGUCGUGAGGGAAUAAGGCUGAGUUUCGGCUCAGUUGAAUGUACCUCGAGAGGAAGCACCGGCAAACUUCGUGCCAGCCGCGGC